AACGAACGCUGGCGGCAUGCCUAACACAUGCAAGUCGAACGAGCCCUUCGGGUCUAGUGGCGCACGGGUGCGUAACGCGUGGGAACCUGCCCUUAGGUUCGGAAUAACUCCCCGAAAGGGGUGAUAAUACCGGAUAAUGUCUUCGGACCAAAGAUUUAUCGCCUUUGGAUGGGCACGCGUUGGAUUAGCUAGUUGGUAGGGUAAAAGCCUACCAAGGCGACGAUCCAUAGCUGGUCUGAGAGGAUGAUCAGCCACACUGGGACUGAGACACGGCCCAGACUCCUACGGGAGGCAGCAGUGGGGAAUAUUGGACAAUGGGCGAAGGCCUGAUCCAGCAAUGCCGCGUGAGUGAUGAAGGCCUGAGGGUUGUAAAGCUCUUUUACCCGGGAUGAUAAUGACAGUACCGGGAGAAUAAGCUCCGGCUAACUCCGUG
RNAcentral lists this ribosomal RNA (433 nucleotides) under uncultured bacterium. Its description in RNAcentral is "partial 16S ribosomal RNA". It matches the Rfam family "Bacterial small subunit ribosomal RNA", at positions 29 to 507 of the family's 1533-position model. The record is from RNAcentral.